UUGCCAUUUUUCCCAGAGGUCUCAAUUGUCAAAUCUUACUGAAUUUGAAAUUGAGCCAUAGUGUUCGGACUUUCCAAAAUCUUUCAUGCAAAUAAUUUUCAGCAUUUUUACUCCCAAAUCUCAUCGAUGUAAUAUAUUAGCUAAAAGAUAGCUGAUGGAAAUGAGAGAUUGAGUUGCUCUUUGCCUCCUCUCUUUCAGCUGUGGACGCUCUGGAAUGUUAUCAUUGUCCCAAUGGAGGUCCCAAAUGUAUUCCCCAAACCUGCUCUAGUUACCAGGACCGAUGUAUGACCGUAUGGUUUACAGGAGUUGGAUCCAUGCCACCAAGGUAUGGCAAGAGGUGUGGCACUCUGUAUGAGUGUCAAACUCUGAAUGCAUUUCCAGGGUCAGGAGUUAGUGCCAUUUGUUGUGGCUUUGACAGAUGCAACCGUUAGUGUUCCCUUUCAACGGGAGACCUUCUCAAUGACAUCAUUGGCUUCAACUGAUAGCAUUGGAUGUGAUUUGUCUGAAAUUGAAGAGUGAUUUCGAAUGUGCUGCCAGUAAUCAGUCCUAUCUGGAUGGAAAAAUAAAUAAAAUUUUACAUUGUAA
This is a non-coding RNA of Pseudonaja textilis, 585 nucleotides long. The record is from RefSeq and is a predicted model, not a curated record. Lineage: Eukaryota; Metazoa; Chordata; Lepidosauria; Squamata; Elapidae.